RNAcentral lists this ribosomal RNA (492 nucleotides) under uncultured bacterium. RNAcentral describes it as "partial 16S ribosomal RNA". It matches the Rfam family "Bacterial small subunit ribosomal RNA", at positions 29 to 507 of the family's 1533-position model. The record is from RNAcentral.
AGUGAACGCUGGCGGUAGGCCUAACACAUGCAAGUCGAACGGCAGCACAGUAAGAGCUUGCUCUUACGGGUGGCGAGUGGCGGACGGGUGAGGAAUACAUCGGAAUCUACUUUUUCGUGGGGGAUAACGUAGGGAAACUUACGCUAAUACCGCAUACGACCUACGGGUGAAAGCAGGGGAUCUUCGGACCUUGCGCGAUUGAAUGAGCCGAUGUCGGAUUAGCUAGUUGGCGGGGUAAAGGCCCACCAAGGCGGCGAUCCGUAGCUGGUCUGAGAGGAUGAUCAGCCACACUGGAACUGAGACACGGUCCAGACUCCUACGGGAGGCAGCAGUGUGGAAUAUUGGACAAUGGGCGCAAGCCUGAUCCAGCCAUACCGCGUGGGUGAAGAAGGCCUUCGGGUUGUAAAGCCCUUUUGUUGGGAAAGAAAAGCAGCAGGUUAAUACCCCGCUGUUCUGACGGUACCCAAAGAAUAAGCACCGGCUAACUUCGUG